Long non-coding RNA from Vigna radiata var. radiata (mung bean), 1619 nucleotides. RefSeq lists it as uncharacterized. NCBI's taxonomy places the organism in Eukaryota, Viridiplantae, Streptophyta, Magnoliopsida, Fabales, Fabaceae. The transcript has 2 exons. The record is from RefSeq and is a predicted model, not a curated record.
UAUUAUUAUAUUUAUUAUUAUUAUUUUUAUUAUUAUUAUUCUUAUUAUUACAAUUAUUAUUGUUGUGUUGGUGGAGGAUAGUGAGGUUAAUUUUGAGAAGCAAGCAAGAACAGGUAUUAUGGUCCAAUGUUGUGUGAAAAUCAUGAUGGCAAGAGUGCGUGGAAGGAGCUGCUGUGAUUGCUGUGUAUUGACCAGCUGGAAUUUAAUCAUAAUCUCAUAUUCUCUUUGCCAGGUUUUGGUUCCACAAUGCCAAGUAAUCAUGGGAAUUUGUGUAUUCUUGCAUUACUCUAGUCGUGAUAUUGGUGUUUAGUCUUUUUUAUCUGGAUAUCAACAUUGNUAACCCNUUUACAGAUUGCUGAUUUCUGUUAAUUAACUGUUCUUCUUUGACCUAAGUAGUUAAACUAGGAUUGAUAACCUUAGAGAAAUUGUCUUUUUAGUUUUGAGUGCAUAGUAUAUGACUUUUAUGCUUGUUUGAUUUUUGUAGCAGCUAGGAAACCGAUGUUAUUUUCCCCCUUUUUCAGUAGUUUAGCAUCUUUUAGACUAUUGUUAUAAUAAUUAUUAUUAUUAGAGGCAAAACACAUAACUAAUAGAACUUGAUUUCUUGGUAGGUGGUUAGAGUGUGGCUCUUGAAACUCGUGAGUUNGGAGUGCACUUUUUUCAUAUGUGAUUGUCUAUCUAUGCUUGAUAAAUGUUGAUAACUGACUAUUUUGAUUGGGAUAUGAAUUUGAUUUGUUUUUUAAAUUGUUGAGUUUAUAUUCCUCAAUAGAUAUAUGAGGGGGAGCAUGUUCCGUGUUUGUGAUGUUGAGUUUAUCGUCUUUCUUCAGAUAGUUGAUUAUUUCACAGACAAUGAACAACAAAGAUGGAAUACCAGUCACUCAGCAGGCAGAGAGCACGAUUGUCCCUAAGACAAUCAUAUUAGUGGUGCUAUGUGGAUUUUCUUUCUAUACAUACAGGUAUAAUCUUCUGUUCUGAGAAGGACAGAUUUUUGUCAAUAUAUGGCCAGAUAUCCAUAGGGUUCCCCGCGGAGUUAUCAAUAAGUCCUCUCCAAAUUAAAUACAUUAGUUUUCCAGAAUGCAGUAUUACUUUCAAGAUUACACUCCAUGCACANAUCCAAGGGUAAUGUUACUGAUUGUAGUCCAUUUUUUCGUGUUAUAGGACUUGUAGAAGAAAGUUUUCUUAUUGAUUACGUAUGCUUAAACUUAUAGAGAUGGAAGAAGUACAUAAACUUGGGAUUUGGAAAGUACUUGUGUGGUUGGUGGUAGCCUGUUGGAUCGUGGGAUUCUAAUUGUCUCUCUUGCACCAAGGGAUAACCAUCGAGCUCAGAUUCAAUCUGCUCUAGAGCGUGGUAUCCCUGCAGUUCUUGGUGUCAUUUCUACACAGAGACUUCCAUUCCCAUCAAACUCCUUUGAUAUGGCUCAUUGCUCCAGAUGUCUAAUCCCAUGGACAAAAUUUGGUACUUCUUUNUGGGGAUUUUGAACUUUAGAAUUUAUUCCUUUUUAUGCAACUCUUCUUGUGAUCAUGAACUUCAGUAAUUACCAGUUUGUAGCUGCCUAAGUUCAGUGCUUUCAUACUAUGCUGGCAUAUAGUUUUCAAUGGAAUUUUUAGAUCUUAAUCUGACA